GGUUGUGGCUCAGUGGUAGAGCACUUGCCUAACAUGUGUGAGGCACUGUGUUCAAUUCUCAGCACCA
Molecule: transfer RNA, 67 nt
Filed under: Marmota monax (woodchuck)
Lineage: Eukaryota; Metazoa; Chordata; Mammalia; Rodentia; Sciuridae
Description: tRNA.Val
Rfam family: tRNA
About the family: Transfer RNA (tRNA) molecules are approximately 80 nucleotides in length. Their secondary structure includes four short double-helical elements and three loops (D, anti-codon, and T loops). Further hydrogen bonds mediate the characteristic L-shaped molecular structure. tRNAs have two regions of fundamental functional importance: the anti-codon, which is responsible for specific mRNA codon recognition, and the 3' end, to which the tRNAs corresponding amino acid is attached (by aminoacyl-tRNA synthetases). tRNAs cope with the degeneracy of the genetic code in two manners: having more than one tRNA (with a specific anti-codon) for a particular amino acid; and 'wobble' base-pairing, i.e. permitting non-standard base-pairing at the 3rd anti-codon position.
Source: RNAcentral